RNAcentral lists this ribosomal RNA (253 nucleotides) under uncultured bacterium. RNAcentral's name for it is "partial 16S ribosomal RNA". It matches the Rfam family "Bacterial small subunit ribosomal RNA", at positions 524 to 776 of the family's 1533-position model. The record is from RNAcentral.
UACGUAGGGUGCAAGCGUUGUCCGGAAUUAUUGGGCGUAAAGAGCUCGUAGGCGGUCUGUUGCGUCGGCUGUGAAAACCCGGGGCUCAACCCCGGGCCUGCAGCCGAUACGGGCAGACUAGAGUUCGGCAGGGGAGACUGGAAUUCCUGGUGUAGCGGUGGAAUGCGCAGAUAUCAGGAGGAACACCAAUAGCGAAGGCAGCUCGCUGGGACGUUACUGACACUAAGGCGCGAAAGCGUGGGGAGCGAACAGG